Molecule: ribosomal RNA, 265 nt
Filed under: uncultured prokaryote
Description: partial 16S ribosomal RNA
Rfam family: Bacterial small subunit ribosomal RNA
Source: RNAcentral
UACGUAGGUGGCAAGCGUUAUCCGGAAUUACUGGGUGUAAAGGGGCGCAGGCGGCCUUGCAAGUCGGAUGUGAAAGAUCAAGGCUCAACCUUGACAGGUCAUCCGAAACUGUAAGACUUGAGUGUCAGAGGGGAAGGUGGAAUUCCUAGUGGAGCGGUAAAAUGCGCAGAUAUUAGGAGGAACACCGGUGGCGAAGGCGACUUUCUGGCUGACAACUGACGCUGAGGCGCGAAAGCGUGGGGAGGCAAACAGGAUUAGAUACCCU